AGGACAAGGACCUGAAUUAGCACCACACUGAGCCGUGGUCAGUAGAUGGAAAUGGUUAAUCAACCAGAGAUUUGGAAUUGACGUAAUAGAAGAAAGUCUUAUGCCUGAGACAUCCGUUCUUCUGGAGAAUCAAAUCUUGCUUAUUGAUGCGUGAAGCGAGUAGGAUCAUCACGUUUAAACGAGGAGCUUUAGAGGUUAAGUUCAAACCCAGCAUACCAGGCGUGCCUGUAUCAUCACGUCCGUUGAGAACAACUCGGCACUGAUACCAUAACCAUAUGUUGUAUGCAAUACGUCUUCAUUCCAAAUCCACCAUGUGAUGUUAUGUGGGAGGACGGCUUAGGGGAGGUGGAUCCCUCUCACUUCAAAUCCCAAAGAAAACAAGAGGAGGACACAUCAAGCAAAUUGCCAGACUGGUCGAGAAAGGAAAAAGAUCGAGAUCAAGAGCACCGGCUGGAUAUGCACUAUGUAAUAGACAUGAUAAGGCGUUAAAGAGUCUCAACAACUUUCCCUCCACCAAACUUUCACGCGCUCGUGCCAGUCGUGUGUCGUCUAUCGUAGGAUUGUGCAACUGCUAAUCCGCAGAAUAAUACGGUGCUGCCUUAUUGGCCCGUAAGUUAAUAACUCGCGCGUGCGUGCAAAAGUUCCACUUCCGUUUAAAGUUCAAUCUCUUUACCGACUUUCAUGGCAUCAUUGCAUGGAGCUUCGGGAGCCUGCUUUUAUAUUAAAGUUUCUUACUUUUGCAACCAAGGAGCUCCUUAAUGCAAUUUUUAUGACCCAGAAGUAAAGGCAGGUUACUGAGUUAAUGAGAAAAAAAACUGUAUUAAAACGAACAUUCGAAAUGCAAUCCCUCAUGUAUAUAAGCAACUAGGGUUCCUGAAAGCUACUCUCAUUUUACCCAAAUGCUUCAUACGUCAAAAUCUAAUGACGGGAAAAGUAGAGGAAAUAUAAGUCGGACAUCGGUGUGAUAAAGCAUGCUUGUUCAUAUAUCUCACCGAGUCGCAAGGGCAGGCUUCGUCUGGACUUUGGAAAUUGAAAUUUAUCAUGUUUGUCCCAACAGGGCUGGAUAAAUUGCAAUGAUGUUAUUUGAUUCAGGAUACUUGGUGCGUUCGAGUCUACAGCCAGUGCUGUCUAGCCGUUGGGAGGGAGAAGGCCAAGAGUUUAUAUGAUUACUUUUUAUUGUUAACGUAUGGAAGCUGGUUUUCUUAACACAUUGGGCAGAGCAAAUAUUAGUGUCUGAUAGAAAUGUGAUAAGGAUAGUAAUUUCAAAAGAAAUACCAUUAUUUUUUAGUGUAAAUGAAAGUUGAGUAACACAGAGAUGCGUAUAUGAAAUGAAUGAUAACAUUUCUGCCCUUCAGGAAAGUAAAAAAGGGGGAAAGCGCACUAUUCCACCUCCACCCCUUUCUUUCGGCAUCCCUUGAUGAAAUUACCUCUCUAUUGCUCUAUUAAAUGUUUAGGGUAAGUUGAAAUGUAGCUGAGAAUCACUACAGUUUAGCAUUCAGAAUUCAAAUCGGAUUUUGAUGAGACUUUCGGUGUUGUAAUCCGGAGAAGCAAAUGUCUUUGUUAUCUCCAUGAUUAAAUUUGAUGUUGGAAUCGACUUGGCUUUUAUAUGUAUACAAUGUUGAAACUAACUUAAAAUCAAAGUGGGAGCUUUUCAGGUAUUUCAUUAUGAACUGUUUCCCCUUGGAAUCGGGGAGUGACCCUGCAAGAGAAACACCAUCUCUGUGUCUGGUCAUAGAUUCCCAUUUUCCCAUCAGUCUAGCCACUUUCCAAACCAUUUCCUAUCGACGAUGUGUUAUUAUUCACAAAAUGUCAUCGAACAAACACUUUGCAAUACAUGUAGUUUCCUGGAUUUGUUUCACAAUGAUCUCUUGUCAAUGUGUAAUCGAUGCAGUACCAUUUUCAAAACCAUUUUCAGAACCUUGGUGGCGUAAAGGCCACCGCACACCUUACGAUUGAUCUGCGACCUUAUUUUGGAUUAAAAUGUAGUAGAAUUUGCUGCUGAUAUUAAAACAUGAACUAUCUUACGGUGUAAUGUUCUUGGUACCUAUGUUCAAAUAUGUGACUAUGCUAUCUUUCUUAUAAGAAUAAAAGCGAAUUUAAUAUCAAGUUGUAAUGACGUCAUCGAUUGGCUACGAUUUGAAACUAAUUUGGCCUUUACUCCAAAGUAAAAGAGUGCAAUCGUCCGAAAUUAUUAUACUAGUAUUGAUUCAGUUAAUCAAAUAAACGAUACUUUUAUUCAUAUUUAAAGAAAAUGAGCAAAAUUCGAUUUGUUCCAAAAUCGGAUCGUGGACCACUGAUCUGAAUUCAGAUCAGUGUCGUGGACCAGUCGUAAGGUGUGCAGUGGCCUUAAUCAGACAAAUAUUCUGAGGCGCCACAAGUUUGCGUAUGUGAAAAGAUAAACAUUUAAAAAAGUCGUGAGCGAGCGAAAAUUUUCGCCUUUUAAACAUGAAUUUAUACUUUUGAGAUAACUUUUUACCUAAUGAUCAACAUUGUGAUAUAUUUAUGAUCUUUCCUUUCCCUUUUUCUUCUUUUUUCUCCUAAUUAUUAUUGUUUUCUUGGUGUUGGAACUUGGAGCGCCAGAGGCCCCAAGUCGCCCUAUAAAUUGAUAAAUAAUGUGAAUGUUACCUACAACCCAUACGCCCCCAAAAUAAUAGAUAAAUGACAAGCAUUAAAAAUGGUAGGAAACAAGGAAAUAA
Lytechinus pictus (painted urchin) is the source of this 2696-nucleotide long non-coding RNA. RefSeq lists it as uncharacterized. The record is from RefSeq and is a predicted model, not a curated record. The transcript is spliced from 3 exons. Lineage: Eukaryota; Metazoa; Echinodermata; Echinoidea; Temnopleuroida; Toxopneustidae.